GAUGAACGCUGGCGGCGUGCCUAAUACAUGCAAGUCGAGCGAACAGAUGAGGAGCUUGCUCCUCUGACGUUAGCGGCGGACGGGUGAGUAACACGUGGAUAACCUACCUAUAAGACUGGGAUAACUUCGGGAAACCGGAGCUAAUACCGGAUAAUAUAUUGAACCGCAUGGUUCAAUAGUGAAAGACGGUUUUGCUGUCACUUAUAGAUGGAUCCGCGCCGCAUUAGCUAGUUGGUAAGGUAACGGCUUACCAAGGCAACGAUGCGUAGCCGACCUGAGAGGGUGAUCGGCCACACGGAAACAGACACACGGUCCAGACACAGAGGGGAGGAAGCGGUAGGAAAUCUUCCGCACUGGGGAAAAGUUGAAGGAAGCAACGCGGGGGGGGUAAUAAGUGUCUUGGGAUCGAAAAACUUUUUUAUGGGGAAAAAAAAAAUGUGAAAGAAACUAGGCCCGUCUGGAGGGUCCCAAAACAAAAACCCGCGCCUACCUAGGC
This 496-nucleotide ribosomal RNA is filed under the name uncultured bacterium. RNAcentral describes it as "partial 16S ribosomal RNA". It matches the Rfam family "Bacterial small subunit ribosomal RNA", at positions 28 to 506 of the family's 1533-position model. The record is from RNAcentral.